RNAcentral lists this long non-coding RNA (276 nucleotides) under Sorghum bicolor (sorghum). RNAcentral describes it as "long non-coding RNA (SBIC_LNC005763)". Lineage: Eukaryota; Viridiplantae; Streptophyta; Magnoliopsida; Poales; Poaceae. The record is from RNAcentral.
AAACAGAGGAAGCUCGUCGGAGCUUGCGGUUUCGACGGUGGGAUGCGUAUCUGUGGCAACGGAGUGGUGAGGGAGCUUUCUCGGACUCAUGCGCAUUUUAUGGUGUCCUCUACUCGGUCGGAGGUGGUCUGCAGGAGCGUGGCCACGCGGAGGUGGAGCUCGGCGGUGCUCUAGACCGUAGAAAGAAGAUGGCGGCUCUAGGCUGACUCCGAUGGUGCGAGGCCGCGCAAGAAGACUCAGCAAAAGCGCAAGAGUGAUGCGAAGUUGUGUCCAUGG